Molecule: ribosomal RNA, 492 nt
Filed under: uncultured bacterium
Lineage: Bacteria
Description: partial 16S ribosomal RNA
Rfam family: Bacterial small subunit ribosomal RNA
Source: RNAcentral
AGUGAACGCUGGCGGUAGGCCUAACACAUGCAAGUCGAACGGCAGCACAGUAAGAGCUUGCUCUUACGGGUGGCGAGUGGCGGACGGGUGAGGAAUACAUCGGAAUCUACUUUUUCGUGGGGGAUAACGUAGGGAAACUUACGCUAAUACCGCAUACGACCUACGGGUGAAAGCAGGGGAUCUUCGGACCUUGCGCGAUUGAAUGAGCCGAUGUCGGAUUAGCUAGUUGGCGGGGUAAAGGCCCACCCAGGCGAGGAUCCGUAGCUGGUCUGAGAGGAUGAUCAGCCACACUGGAACUGAGACACGGUCCAGACUCCUACGGGAGGCAGCAGUGGGGAAUAUUGGACAAUGGGCGCAAGCCUGAUCCAGCCAUACCGCGUGGGUGAAGAAGGCCUUCGGGUUGUAAAGCCCUUUUGUUGGGAAAGAAAAGCAGCAGGUUAAGACCCCGCUGUUCUGACGGUACCCAAAGAAUAAGCACCGGCUAACUUCGUG